Xenopus laevis (African clawed frog) is the source of this 555-nucleotide non-coding RNA. NCBI's taxonomy places the organism in Eukaryota, Metazoa, Chordata, Amphibia, Anura, Pipidae. The record is from the annotation of a RefSeq genome assembly.
UGAAAUGUCACUUAUGGAAUAUGUCUGCCUCACUCUGAGAGAAGAAGCCUAAAAGAUCAGCAUCUGAAUAGUGUGCAUCUCUCUAUGAAAAAUAUGAAGAAUCUCUUGUGGUUUAUUGAAGUUUGGUCCCUACUGCAAUGUGUGACAUGUCAGAUCUCCCUGACACAGCCUGGUACUGUCACUGUGAAGCCAUCAGAGGUUCUUCAGUUGACCUGUAAAGUGACCGGAGCCUCCCUCACUGACAGCUCUAAAGUACAUUCAGUUCAGUGGGUCCGCCAGCCUGCAGGGAAAGGGCUGGAGUGGCUGGGAGGGAUAUGGUACGAAGCCUCCCUGCACUAUUCCCAGUCUUUGCAGGGACGUGUCACAGUAUCAAGAGACACAAAUAAAGGAGAAGUUUAUUUAAAACUCACUGGAAUGAAACCAGAGGAAACUGCUCUAUAUUACUGUGCUACAGAAGCACAGUGGGACAUAUAUUAUGAAUGCAGGUGCAAAAAAUGUCUAGAUAUCUGGAAAACUAUAAAACUGGUUAUUUUAAACUAAUAUCACGAUUCUAUU